AACAAUAUUGAAAAUACAUAAUAAAGCAAGAAAAAUAGACAAAUAUUAUUCAAACGAGACAUAAUGGAAGCAAGAAAAAAAUAGCUAAGAUAUUAUUCAUUUUCAACAUUAACAUCCCCCUCGGCAUCCGGCACUUCUUCCGGAAGGGCAACUUGGGCAUAGGGAUAGCGGACGCGGUCAAAAUAUCCAUGAAGCUCGUGGGAUAAUCAGGUGACAUUCCUAUCAAUACGAGUCAUGG
RNAcentral lists this long non-coding RNA (238 nucleotides) under Nicotiana benthamiana. Its description in RNAcentral is "long non-coding RNA (NBEN_LNC041237)". Lineage: Eukaryota; Viridiplantae; Streptophyta; Magnoliopsida; Solanales; Solanaceae. The record is from RNAcentral.